Molecule: ribosomal RNA, 496 nt
Filed under: uncultured bacterium
Lineage: Bacteria
Description: partial 16S ribosomal RNA
Rfam family: Bacterial small subunit ribosomal RNA
Source: RNAcentral
AUGAACGCUGGCGGCGUGCCUCAUACAUGCAAGUCGAGCGCACAGAUGAGGAGCUUGCUCCUCUGACGUUAGCGGCGGACGGGUGAGUAACACGUGGAUAACCUACCUAUAAGACUGGGAUAACUUCGGGAAACCGGAGCUAAUACCGGAUAAUAUAUUGAACCGCAUGGUUCAAUAGUGAAAGACGGUUUUGCUGUCACUUAUAGAUGGAUCCGCGCCGCAUUAGCUAGUUGGUAAGGUAACGGCUUACCAAGGCAACGAUGCGUAGCCGACCUGAGAGGGUGAUCGGCCACACUGGAACUGAGACACGGUCCAGACUCCUACGGGAGGCAGCAGUAGGGAAUCUUCCGCAAUGGGCGAAAGCCUGACGGAGCAACGCCGCGUGAGUGAUGAAGGUCUUCGGAUCGUAAAACUCUGUUAUUAGGGAAGAACAAAUGUGUAAGUAACUAUGCACGUCUUGACGGUACCUAAUCAGAAAGCCACGGCUAACUACGUG